GGGCCCGCACAAGCGGUGGAGCAUGUGGUUUAAUUCGAUGAUACGCGAGGAACCUUACCAGGGCUUAAAUGUAGUGGGACAGGUCUAGAGAUAGACCCUUCUUCGGACUCAUUACAAGGUGCUGCAUGGUUGUCGUCAGCUCGUGCCGUGAGGUGUCAGGUUAAGUCCUAUAACGAGCGCAACCCCUAUCGUUAGUUGCCAGCGGGUAAUGCCGGGAACUCUAGCGAAACUGCCGGUGCAAACCGAGAGGAAGGUGGGGAUGACGUCAAAUCAUCACGGCCCUUACGUCCUGGGCUACACACGUGCUACAAUGGCCGGUACAGAGAGCAGCCACUACGCGAGUAGGAGCGAAUCUCAAAAAGCCUGUCCCAGUUCGGAUUGGAGUCUGGAACUCGACUCCAUGAAGUCGGAAUC
RNAcentral lists this ribosomal RNA (414 nucleotides) under uncultured bacterium. Its description in RNAcentral is "bacterial SSU rRNA". It matches the Rfam family "Bacterial small subunit ribosomal RNA", at positions 917 to 1333 of the family's 1533-position model. The record is from RNAcentral.